Esox lucius (northern pike) is the source of this 649-nucleotide long non-coding RNA. NCBI's taxonomy places the organism in Eukaryota, Metazoa, Chordata, Actinopteri, Esociformes, Esocidae. The record is from Ensembl.
AUCUCAGACCUCCUCCCCUUUCUGAGAAGGAUUGUAUUCAGGAAGCCCAGUUCUAUCUUUGUGAAGUCCAUCAUCAGAGAGAUCUAUGAGAGGAGAGACAGUGACUGUGUGUCCAGUUUGUUGAGGUCUUUAGAUUGGAUCAACCUGAACAGUAGCGAGCUGGACAGAGUGGACUGUGCUGCUCUGUGUUUCACCCUCCAACACAGCCACUAUGUCCAAGUCAACCUGCUGUGGACCUCCAUACCACCGGGGGAGAUAGAGAGCAUCCUGCCCCUUCUGGACAGAGUCUCCCAACUCAGUGUUGACAGGAGGUUGUUACUGAGUUUCCUCCGGUGCUGCGCUGCCUCUCAGAUCCAACAGGGGGCACCACCACCAACAGCAGUAUGGCUGCUCAGGGCUCUGAACCACAGACUGGACUUCUCCUGUUCCUCCUCUGUGGACCUGUCAGGUGAUGACCAGGAGGAGGCGCUGUGUCUGACCACUGACCACUGCAGGAUCAUCACAGCUGUUCUGACGCAGAACCAACACAGCCCAGACCUGGUCCAGAACCCCACCAAGAAACGGAAACGGACCCAGACUGAUCCACACUUUCAGCUCAAGAAGCUCAAGCUCACAACCCAUCAUCAGAACCAGCCCCGGCCCCCCCCCG